RNAcentral lists this microRNA precursor (101 nucleotides) under Myotis lucifugus (little brown bat). RNAcentral's name for it is "miRNA (ENSMLUG00000020259.1)". The record is from RNAcentral. Lineage: Eukaryota; Metazoa; Chordata; Mammalia; Chiroptera; Vespertilionidae.
CAGUUGUAGUUGCUUAUAACUGCAGUCUUACUAGUGAUCAGUUUGCAAGCAGGCCUGCUAGGCAGUGCAAAGAGAUAGCAGGUCUAUGAGGCAGUGACUUU